GCUUACGGCCAUACCACCCUGAGCAAGCCCGGUCUCGUCUGAUCUCGGAAGCUAAGCAGGGUGAGGCCUCGUUAGUACUUGGAUGGGAGACCGACUGGAAAUACCAGGUACUGUAUGCU
Molecule: ribosomal RNA, 119 nt
Filed under: Betta splendens (Siamese fighting fish)
Lineage: Eukaryota; Metazoa; Chordata; Actinopteri; Anabantiformes; Osphronemidae
Source: RNAcentral